UACGUAGGGUGCAAGCGUUAAUCGGAAUUACUGGGCGUAAAGCGUGCGCAGGCGGUGAUGUAAGACAGGUGUGAAAUCCCCGGGCUUAACCUGGGAACUGCAUUUGUGACUGCAUGGCUAGAGUACGGUAGAGGGGGAUGGAAUUCCGCGUGUAGCAGUGAAAUGCGUAGAGAUGCGGAGGAACACCGAUGGCGAAGGCAGCCCCCUGGGCUGACACUGACGCUCAGGCACGAAAGCGUGGGGAGCAAACAGG
RNAcentral lists this ribosomal RNA (253 nucleotides) under uncultured bacterium. Its description in RNAcentral is "partial 16S ribosomal RNA". It matches the Rfam family "Bacterial small subunit ribosomal RNA", at positions 524 to 776 of the family's 1533-position model. The record is from RNAcentral.